This is a long non-coding RNA of Topomyia yanbarensis, 8560 nucleotides long. RefSeq lists it as uncharacterized. The record is from RefSeq and is a predicted model, not a curated record. Lineage: Eukaryota; Metazoa; Arthropoda; Insecta; Diptera; Culicidae. The transcript is spliced from 2 exons.
AGAGUCGAUGUGAACAGAUCGCAGAUAGCGAGGAAGUGAUCGCGAGGCUUCCCUCGUCCAGUUGUAGUAGAGACAGAUUGGAGUAGUCAGUGAGUGAAAAUUGUGGAUUUGGGCAUAUUUUAGAAAGUUUGCUUGUUGUUGGUCUGGUAACCAGUUUUUAAUGCCUGAAAUAAGUCCCGUCGCGAGGAAACCUUAACCAUAAGUGUAGUUUUUUAUCAUCUCGACUAGAUGCGAGAAUAAACAGAAAUUGUCCGAUUUCUGAUUGUGUUAAUAUUGAAUGUGAUUAAAAAAAUGCGUAAAAUUGUCUACGUAAUUUGAUGUUGAAAACUGAAGAAAAAUCGCAAACCAGUCACGUAAAAUGCGAUAGCCUAAAUGUGAAAAAAGGCAACCACUCAGCAGAUCUAAUCGAUUCAGUGCAAGUUUCUUUGUUCGCAAAACUUUGACAGAGUGCGACAACGAUCCCACACAAAUACAUAUGCACUUGCUACGAGUUUGGAAAGUGUUUCCUACAGAUUUUGCAUCACGUAAAGUUGUGCUGUGGAAAUAGUGAAAAAAACCGACGGAGAAGAACGCCUGGUGUAACCGAACCGUUGAUGCACACACACAGCACGUUCACUCGCUCGGACUCGCAUACAUGUGUAGUGUGAGCAGUGUAGUGACGAGAACAAAGAAGCAGACCAUUUGCGUCAAAAGCGAACAAAGUUUGAUUGAAUCUUGAAAAGCUGCAGUGCUCAAGGGAGAUAUUUCCUCUGAUUCCGUAAAAUUUCUGUGAUAGCGAUUCCUGCAACCGUUGUAAGAAGCCGCUGGAAGGAAUCCGCGAAAGGUCGAUUAUCUACGCCCUGAUGCCAACGCGGUUGCACGUAGUCGAAGAAACAUUUGGGAAAAAGCUCUACUUGUGUUUACCGAUAGCGAAGAAAGGAAGAAAGUGCAUCACGCCAAGGUGAACAAAGCAGCUGAAGUGUAGAAAAUAUAUCAUCAGUGACGCAAAGUGAAGAAAAAGUCUUGUAUCUGCAUUCGAUUAUGUUGUGUACCCUGCAUUUUCUUUUAGUACCGAGAUAUUUUUAUAAUAAAAUAAUAUCAAAACGAGAAAAAUUUCACUAAAAGAAACAAAGUAAUCAUAAACUGAAGCAGUAUAAUUGAUGAUACAAAGUAAAUAUAGUUUAUAUUUAACAAAUUAAUAAUAAAGUGUGAUAAUAGUUUUAAAAAAGCAAAUCGUAACAGAAAAACAAUUGACUGACACAGCAAAAGCGGAGUGUGUUCGAGCUGAGCAAAGAAGAAAGUGAAACCAAGUCUACGAUGACGAACUCGCACAACAGGAGUGGCCGAAAUGGCAACAAUGCUGAACGGUAUUUCAACAAUCACAGUCCGCAGCAGUGGAACGGUGGAAGUGGUAAAAGAAACAACUCUACUGGUAAUACUGGUGGCAACGGAAGCCGGGGACAAAAGUCACCGAGCUCAACUUACUUUAGGAGUAUUUCUUCAUCGAACGCGAUUCCGAUAGUGAAUUCCACGUCGCCAAUUAGUAGCAAGAGUGCCAAUUACUACAGCACCAGCUCCCCUAGUGGACGUUCACAUAGCUUUAAUCUCAAUACCAGCUAUCAGCGUUCAAGUCCUGGUGGUAGCGGUUUCAAUACUUCCCUUGGAUCGUACCCUGGAACCCUGCCGGGGUCACCGCCAAACUUUUCCCAUUUUGCUGGAAGCAAGUGUUACGACGCACCAGCACCCACCGCUUUGCCAAAACCACCGGUACAUUGGACUUCGUCGUCAGCUCCAUCCAUCUCUACGGUGGCAUCAGCUUUAAAUACUUCGAAAACAUCCAUCAGCAAGCCAACAUCAGCGUCCGUCAUCACUGUCAGGAAUGUCACCAGCAAGACACCGUCGACAGCUUCCUCAUCGUCGCCUAGGGUCAAAGCAAAGUCAGUGAAACCAGCAAUGUCCUGUGCUGCGGCAGCGGCCAAAGCCAACCGAAAUGUUGAUUUCACAAACAACCUCAAAAUGAUCCUGAAUGUGCAAGCUUAACCAAUUCAAGUGUCCAAAGACAAACCUGAUAGGCCGACUGGCUUAGUGCUGCCAAGAUCGCUUGUUUCAAAACCACCAUCCGUUUAAAAUAAAAACACACCAAAGCAGAUUAAUAUUGUGCUGAAUACGUGAAGAAAAAAACAAAAGACAGUUGUAAGUGGUCUCCUGGGAAAUCUGCGAUAGGUUCACAAAAAAAUCAUCAACCCAUGGAACCACAUAAACAACCAAUCAAAACCACCAACAGUGUACAUUGUAUACAAACUACUAAAUUUUAUCACCAUCACUAAAUAUUACAACGAUCGAAAGCAGCCAGUGAGGCGGAACGAGUAGAGUGAGUUGAACCAUAUGUACUAAAACUUGAUUGUCAAUUCUAGUUAUGUAUCAUCGUUUUUUAAAUGUUUUAUUUUUAAUUUGAAGCGCGUGACAAUUUCUGGUCAAAUUGGUCGGCCAUUGCCAAUGAGUAUCCUAAAUUUAUUGUUUUCUUUUCGCAGUCUCGCUUUGCCGACCUUUUCACAGCAGUAACCAGUGGUCCCAUCAGUCAAACCAGUAGAAAGUUCCUUGCAUCAAUUCAUUCACGAAUGUCAUAUCAUCCUCAUCAUACGAUUUCGAUUAGAACAGACCAGAUUACUGCUGUGAAAAGGCCAUUACAACGGGACGGUAAAAUUUGUUACUUUUGCAUUAUAUACAUACAUAUAGUCAUAUUCAUUGUUUUCAAUUUUAUAUUCUGUGUACAUACACAUAACCAUGUGUUACGAUACCUCACUGCGUAUAGGUUGAGUUGAGGUUCGAUCCAUAAAGAGGCGAUAAUUGAAACAAUUGAAAGGUACGACAAACUAAAGACCAAAACACGCUGGGUGUGUAUACGUGAAGGCUCAAUCUAAUGCGCAAAUAGAAACUCAGUUUCAAACUUGGACAACAUAUUUUAUAAUGUAGACAAAAUCAUCGCACAGACUAUCGAUUCAAACGAUUUAAACAUUGAAAUUUGAAAUUAAAAUUCCAUUUGCUAAAACCAGAUUCGUUAUUUCAAAAAAAAAAAUAUAAUCUCGCUCUAAUUGCGCAUCAGCUUUGGCAUUCAUCGAGCAGGCGAACGCGCGAGCUUUUGAUAAACUGCGCAGUUUGCUGUAGAGUAAAGAUACACGAAACAUAAAACAAAUACAGUACAAAAUCGAACUAUUAAAUGUAUGUUUUACAAUAAUAACAAGCAAAGCAAAUCAAACACUUACGGCUGAAAAGAGAAAAUACAUGUAAAACAACACACUGGUGUGAAAUAUUGGAAAGUUAAGCAGUGAUAGCGUAAACAUGAUUAGCGAAGCAGAGAGAAAGAGAUGCAGAAGCGCGCGCGUGUGUGUGACAAUAUUAUAACAAAAACAAACGAGAAUCGAAAGACUUAUCACUACUGAUAACGAGAUACAUUAUUCAGCAAAUUUGGAAGCAUUCGAUGGGGGUGUCGAAAGCUGCCUCACGUUGUUUCUCGUGGGCAAGCUUUCGCGUUUACUCGGCCGAAACUGGACUCCGGUAUAUCGCAGGAGAGAUAGUUUACGGACAAAACCAAUAUGCGACAUGGGCCAUCUCUCAGGGGGCGGAGUUUGGAAACUUUGCCGACCAAAUGAUUUCCCUUCUUCAGUUGACAGUUUAUUUCACCGUUUACGUGCAUUUAUGAAUCCCACUUUAUGUUCGACAAUUUGAAGGAAUUAGAUAUCUUGUAAAUAGCACAAGUUUUAAAUCCCGAAAAAAUAUCGUAGAAGAGAGUGUGCCUUCUAGUAUUUUUUUACAAAAUGGAGAGUAGACGGAUACCCUACAUCAGCUCAGAAGAGUAGGCUGAGAAAACAAAACAUCAUGUGUGUUACUCCGCCCUUCUAUUCACGCAUUGUUUCACUAACGGAGGGCAUGAUCCGAUCCCGCUGGAUGACGAUCACUACAUUAAUCUGCUAGUGAGCCAUGCAAUAACUUACGGUCUGUUAUUUUCUGUUACACUUACAGAAUGUUUCGGUGCAUGGAAAAUAAAUUAUUGACCGCAAUGUCCGAAAAUUGUUAGGAAUUGAUUCGAAAUUUCAGGCAGCAGAGAAAAAACGAUAAUUUAGCCCAGUGCAAUAACGCUAAUUCGGAAUGAAAUGUAUAAAAUUGAAAGUCUCACUGUUUACAUAGCACCCCUUAAUUACCCUGUACUAUUCUAUCUCGAUUGAUUCUUUCGUUUAAUACAAUAAAACAACAGCCUUAAGUCAUACUAUCUUUCAUUUACUAUUUUUGUGUUAGAAACAAAAGAGAGUCAAUAUUUGCAAUCUAGAUUCUAUGUUUAUCUAUAAAUUAGUAUUUUCUGACAGAUUUUUGAACUACACUACUGCAAAUAUUAUUUUUUUGAUCUCAUCGUCGUAUCCUUAUUAUUUUUUCUAAGAGUUUUCUUCCAUGUUCGGACUGAUUGCACAUAUACGAACACAGGUUUCUAUGCAUCAGCAAACAAUUUCAUCUCAAUGGUUGUGUCAGUCGGUAAAAAUAUUAGACGCAUUAAUUUAUGAAACCUUAAACAGGAAAACUGAUAGUCGAGCUUAUGAAACUAAAAGCAUGUUCUAGAGAUCGUCAUUUCCUGAGGACGGUCAUUGAUUUUUUCCCUGUACAACUUCUGAUCUCACAAAAUCAUUUUAUCGAGUAAUGUGUACUUUUCAUUACCAUACAUGAGAUUCUUUGAUAAAUUGUGAAACAUUGAUUUAUUCUCAAGUGAAGACGCUUAAUCCCUCUGGAUAAAGACUCGUCAUCUUUAUCGUUUGUUUAACAUUUAUCUGUCAAUGUCAUUCCAAUCGAGCACGAGACCUGUCAAAUGCACUCUAUCCGAAGAAAAUCGCUUCGAAUCCUUCUGGAACGACGGCUAUUGACGGGUUUCGUGCUCGAUUGAAAUGACACUGACAGAUAAAUGGUAAACAAACGAUAAAGAUGGUGAGUCUUUAUCCAGAGGGAUUCCGCGUAAAAGCCAACUGUCAAAAUUCUCUUUGAAGGGAAAUUCCGGACAAACCGUUACUGGCCGAGUGCAGUUCACAGCACCAUAAUGAAAGUGAAAUUUUUUCUCUCUUGUUUACUACCAACAUCUGUGAUUGGUGAGUAAUCGUUUAUCUGGAAUUUUCACUCAAAGUGAAUUUUGACAGUUUGCUUAUAUACCCUAAUCAUAUGUUUGUCGAGAACUAUCAGCAAAUUAAGAAACCGUCUACAUGUUCUGGUUGCGUGCAAACCUGUGAUCGUAUGUUUAUUUUCAGAAAACCGCCUAGAUUCAUCCAAUCAAUAAUAAUUAAUUUUUAACUCUUUUUGCCACCUUAGUAUUUAGUUUGUGACACAAAUCAUCAAAAUUGAUAUACCAUAGAGGAAAAACAAAUGAAAUACACACAUAUUGUAUAGCGAUUAAGUAACAUUUAAAGCAAACUCAAACAUAUUGGAAGAAUUCAUUGUGAAAACGUGAACAUUACCAGACUUUAAACACGCAAAACAACAAAAUAGCCACACCCUCACGCCCUUGUAAUACAGACUUAUUUUCUCAUUCAACUACAUGAAUCAGUAACUUAAUUAAUCGAUAAUAGUAGUUCAUGCCAAAAUCACAGCUAGGCCGAAAAAAAUACUAGGUAAAAUAAUGAUUUUUUAUUCUGAAUAUGUAAUGUUCAGCGUUUGUUUGUUGACGAAAACAGUCGAUACGAAGUAUCGUUAAAUUAAUCCUGCGAACAAUCGAAAAAUGGAAAAUUCGUUACUGGUUCCUUACUCAGAUAGGUUUGACGUGAAAAAAAUAUCUCUUCUUAUAUACUUUGUUUCUAUUAUUGGUUAGUUUUAAAAAUUUCCUCAAGAGAAAAAAGGUCGAAAUCUGGUUUAGAGGUACGUUCUUUUCAUCCCCUUUUCUUUGUGACCCUCUUCUGACUGAAAUGAGAAAACAAACAGCUGCCAGUUUUCUUAGCGACGAGACACCUAUAGUUAACAUAAGGGACCAUUCAUAAAUUACGUAACGCAAAAAUUGUCCAAAGUUGACUCCCCUCCCCUAUGUAAUAAAUUGUCACAAAUUUCUCUAUCCCUCUUCCCCUAUUACGUAACAAAUUCUUUGAUUUUUUUUUCUUCAGUAAAAAUAUAUUACGCAACGUUCUAGCCUUACUACCCCUUCCCAUAUGUCACAAUUUGUUCUCCUUCCCCGCUCCUUUAAAAACGUUACGUAAUUUCUGAAUGGUCCCUAAGUAUGUUUAACUGCUAUUUUCCCCUCGAAAAUUUCAUGCUGUGACCGGUUUCAACCGAUGCCUCACGUAAAAGAAGUCAUUCUUCAUGCCACGGUAAAAACUUAUUCACCUGUAUCGCUUUUGUUUCGAGAUAGGCCCAUACCUGUCUAUGUAGUAAACUGCCCAUGAUCGCAUAUUUGUCCCGUUUUCUAUGGGAUUUUCUAUCUUCAUGGGACUCAUUUGCGAUCAUGGGUUGUAAACAGGUCAGAACAAGAAAAUUUUCAAAAUCAAUCCUAGCGAUCGAUGCUAUUUAUUGCGUUGCGUAUAAAAGGUUAGCUUUGAAACAAAAUUCUUUACAUGUGUGGGAACUUUCAUACAUACACUCGGUUACUAUGCGGAUAAAUAUACUUCAAUCUUUAAUAAAUAAUGCCCAAAGUUUACUUCCUAUCUCCCAGGACGCCACAAAUUAAAUAAAUUAGAUUUAUGUUGCCCGAUAAACUUGUACUUGUACAACUCCCCCUCUUCCAUAUGUCACAAACAGCCUCAUUUCAACCUACACCCUCCUCCGUCACCCAAAAAGCGUGACUUAAUUUAUGAAUGGUCCUUAACCUCGCGUCACUCGCACUGUGUGUACGGCGUUCGGAAAAUCUAGCGAAAUCGUCUUAGGAAAACCAGCAGCUGCUCUUUCAGUGAGCCAUUUACGCGACUUCCUGUGGGUUAAAGUGCAAAGGUUUUGAACGGUUUCAUGCGCUUGUUUCAAUUACUUCUCAUGCAUUUUUUCUCUUUCUUUGCGCCUUCCUCUCUUUAGAUCUAAAUCUAUAACUAUUUUAAGAAAUUUUAUCAAGAAACAAACAAAAAACACAAAAAAACGCCAGCCUAUCUGAAUAAAGAGCGCUCCGGCUGAUUGACCACGUAUCGUUUCUAAGCAAGAAGUAAGUAACUUUUUGGAAAUGCAAAAGAACAAUUCAAAAAAAAACAACACGCUUCGCACCCAAAACUCAAACUCUCGGAUAAUCGAACAACAUCAGCUCUGGAGCGGAAUGUCCCUCCCACUGAGCGCGAGAAUAUAACCGUUUCCGGAGCAAAACGAAUGAAGAAACAUACAACUGCGAUAUACAUAAUAUAACAGCCAAUACUGCUAGACAUUAUUUUCUUUAUUUUGAAACAAACAAACAAACAUGUACAGAGCAAGCCGUCGGAAAAUAAAUAAAAAACGGAAUGGUUUUAGGGAGAUUCUAAACUCUAAAAGUGUACACCGUUCGUUCUACAUAUGCAAGGAUGGAAGUCAGGAAAACUCACACGCACAUACGAGAAACCGCAUUUCACGUACUUUUCUGUAUAUUACAGAAAACAUAGAAAUAUCCCUUGCAGAGAAUUUAAGAAUAAAAACAGAAACAAAGUGUGCUGCGCGUGAGUGUUGCUUUGCUUAAUGGGUAAAGACUAGAACCGGUCAAAACAAACACAAGAAAAUUGAGAUUGUAAUGGUAAACGGUGGACGACCUUUAGAUUCGUAAGUGUAAUAAAUAUUAGAUCUUAAACUAUAGAGAUGAGACAAAAAAGGUAGAAAUGUUCGUAAUUGUUCUGUGAUCCCUAUUUCGUUUAAUGUUACUGCUUUUUUCGAGAGGUAAAAUGUAGCAAAAUGGAUUUUUUUUUUCAAAACAGUUGGAUGGAUUCACACGAGUGAGAAACUUGAGUACUGGUAAAAAGCAGUAACCAUUAAAACACGUGCUCGGUGAAUUUCUGAAUUUACCAAUCACGUCAAUGAUAAAUUCUGUACUAGACUUUUGUAGCGAGCAAGUAAGUAAAACUGAACCAAUUCCUUGUAACACAAAAACGCCAUGUACUGUAUCAACAAUCAUAAAUUACUGUAGUCCUGAAAUAUUUCACAGCUUUCAAAAAUGGUUCUAUUUGAAAAAAAAUGAAAUUGUUCGAAAACUAAUGCUUGUACGACAAAUAAGAUAACAACUAUGUAAUUCGGUCAGGAUUUCGGUUCAAAACCAUUGAAAAAUUGUAAACAACCAAUGAUAAUCAAAUUCAGUUCUGUUUUAUAUCUCAAUUGUAACAAAACAUUGUGACAAAAGAUUGUGAUUACUUUGAAUUUUAUGAGAAAAAAAUCGAGAAUGGAAAAAAAUCUGUCCAUUCAACAAAUCGAUGAUAGUAGAAAAAAAUUAUCAUCUACUAUCGGAAAAAAUAAAAAUAAACGCAAAAAAUAGAAAACAAUCCAAAAGCCACCCCAACCCGUUCCAUGCAAAAAACAUACAAGCAAUAAGCCCUCCCGUUCCUUCAUUCCCCAUUCCUACCUUCCACCGCUGACCCCACGUGUCCUUCCCCGUGUUCCAACUUUCCCCCCAUGGGGUCAGCCAAAA